RNAcentral lists this ribosomal RNA (537 nucleotides) under Sugiyamaella ayubii. RNAcentral's name for it is "eukaryotic LSU rRNA". The stretch from base 110 to 262 matches the Rfam family "5.8S ribosomal RNA". Lineage: Eukaryota; Fungi; Ascomycota; Dipodascomycetes; Dipodascales; Trichomonascaceae. The record is from RNAcentral.
CUGUGCAUUUUAAAUGACUUUGCUUGGGUCUUUUCUAUUUUGAAAGGCCCGAGGAUAUAAACUAUAUUAAUUUUUUUGUCUGAAACGUUUUUUUAUUAUUAAAAAUUAAAAAUUUCAACAACGGAUCUCUUGGUUCUCGCAUCGAUGAAGAACGCAGCAAAGCGCGAUAUGUAGUGUGAAUUGCAGAUUUUGUGAAUCAUCGAAUUUUUGAAUGCACAUUGCACUCUCUGGUAUUCCGGAGAGUUUACCUGUUUGAGCGUCAUUUCUUUCUCAUCUCUUGAUGGUUUUGUGUAGUUACCGUGGUAAAACAUGGUACAACAUGAAAGAAAUUGGCAGAGCAUCUUUAGCUGAUUAACAACGUAUUAGGUUUUACCAACUCGUUGGCUUUAUCUGGCAUAAGAAGCGCUCGGCGAUAUCAACUUUUUUUUUAUAAAGUUGACCUCAAAUCAGGCAAGACUACCCGCUGAACUUAAGCAUAUCAAUAAGCGGAGGAAAAGAAACCAACAGGGAUUGCCUUAGUAACGGCGAGUGAAGCGG